RNAcentral lists this ribosomal RNA (406 nucleotides) under uncultured bacterium. Its description in RNAcentral is "partial 16S ribosomal RNA". It matches the Rfam family "Bacterial small subunit ribosomal RNA", at positions 30 to 526 of the family's 1533-position model. The record is from RNAcentral.
AUUGAACGCUGGCGGCAGGCCUAACACAUGCAAGUCGAACGAGUGGCGGACGGGUGAGUAAUGUCUGGGAAACUGCCCGAUGGAGGGGGAUAACUACUGGAAACGGUGGCUAAUACCGCAUACUAUCAGAUCUGCCCAUAUGGGAUUAGCUAGUUGGUGGGGUAACGGCUCACCAAGGCGACGAUCCCUAGCUGGUCUGAGAGGAUGACCAGCCACACUGGAACUGAGACACGGUCCAGACUCCUACGGGAGGCAGAAGUGGGGAAUAUUGGACAAUGGGCGCAAGCAUGAUGCAGCCAUGCCGCGUGUAUGAAGAAGGCCUUCGGGUUGUAAAGUACUUUCAGCGGGGAGGCGUUACCCGCAGAAGAAGCACCGGCUAACUCCGUGCCAGCAGCCGCGGUAAUAC